GCGAGAAAUAUUAGAUCGGACCUGACUCUAUGAAUUAAUUAAAUGGCUGCAGUAAACUGACUGUACUAAGGUAGCAUAAUCAUUAGUUUUUUAAUUGAAGACUGGAAUGAAGGGUAUUUACUUUGAAGGAAGUUUUAUGGAAAGAUAUUGAAUUUUAGUUAAAAGUAAAAAUGUUUUUAUGGUGUUUCGGGACGAGAAGACCCUAGAAGCUUAAAAUUGAAAAAUUUUUGGUUGGGGUGAUCAAAUGAAGAUAAUAAUCUUUUUUAAUAUAAUUAAAUUUUAAUGAAGUUACUCUAGGGAUAACAGCGUAAUUUAAUUAGAGAGUUCUUAUUGAUAAUUGGAGUUUGCGACCUCGAUGUUGCAAUUAAAUGUAGGUUGGAUGAAGGAGUUCAAUUGUAAAGUCUGUUCGACUUUUAC
This 417-nucleotide ribosomal RNA is filed under the name Crettaros valdezi. RNAcentral's name for it is "partial 16S ribosomal RNA". It matches the Rfam family "Bacterial large subunit ribosomal RNA", at positions 1868 to 2591 of the family's 2925-position model. Lineage: Eukaryota; Metazoa; Arthropoda; Arachnida; Opiliones; Stygnopsidae. The record is from RNAcentral.